GCUGAGCGACGUGCUGGGCCGCGGGAGAGUGAAAUGAUGAUUGACAGCAGGACAGUGAAAUGGGCGGGAAAAAGAGGCUGAUGAAGGGGAGAAACCUGACGAAUGUAAGUGUGGAGCCCAGUAGAGCCCGAGGCACUGAAAAAUGGAGGAGAAGAAAGGGAGUAAAUGGCAGUGAGAGGGACACAUGAAAACAGAUUCUGUGAGAGAUGUGGAGGCGCUGAAGCCUGUGACAUCAUCCGGCCGGCGUGGCUUUCGCUGGAAUCCCCUGGCGAUGGAGCCGGCUGGAGGGAGAGAGACAGAGCUGAACCGCUUCCCAGAGUCACUCAAGAUCCAUCGCGGUGCGGACGCGCAAGACAAACCUGGCGAUCGUUUUGACAAAAGGAGGGGAAACUGGGCACCUGGAAGAGACAAUGAGGAGCAGGAUGUUUGGGUGACGCAGGUACGGGAGGACCGCAGAGGAGCGGGAAAAACACUGUGGCACUGGACAAUCAAUUACCCCCCAGACCCCCUGCCUCAGGGAAACCCC
This is a long non-coding RNA of Anguilla anguilla (European eel), 526 nucleotides long. RefSeq lists it as uncharacterized. The transcript has 4 exons. The record is from RefSeq and is a predicted model, not a curated record. NCBI's taxonomy places the organism in Eukaryota, Metazoa, Chordata, Actinopteri, Anguilliformes, Anguillidae.